Molecule: ribosomal RNA, 377 nt
Filed under: uncultured Planctomycetota bacterium
Lineage: Bacteria; Pseudomonadati; Planctomycetota
Description: bacterial SSU rRNA
Rfam family: Bacterial small subunit ribosomal RNA
Source: RNAcentral
UAAGACGAAGGUGGCAAGCGUUGUUCGGUAUUACUGGGCUUAAAGCGUGUGUAGGCGGAAAGGUAAGCGUUUCGUGAAAUCCCCCGGCUUAACCGGGGAACUGCGCAACGAACUGCUUUUCUUGAGGCAAGUAGGGGUGCAUGGAACUCUUGGUGGAGCGGUGGAAUGCGUAGAUAUCAAGAGGAACGCCAGCGGUGAAAACGGUGCACUGGGCUUGUCCUGACGCUGAGACACGAAAGCGUGGGUAGCGAACGGGAUUAGAUACCCCGGUAGUCCACGCCGUAAACGAUGCCUACUAGGUUGUGAAAGUUCUGACACUGGCACAGCCGAAGCGAAAGUGUUAAGUAGGCCGCCUGGGGAGUACGGUCGCAAGGCUA